GGCCUAAGAUGAAAAAAAUUCAUAUCACUGAUCCCACAAAACAAUAUUUUUAUUAAAAUACUUAAGC
RNAcentral lists this transfer RNA (67 nucleotides) under Hieroglyphus tonkinensis. RNAcentral's name for it is "tRNA-His". The record is from RNAcentral. Lineage: Eukaryota; Metazoa; Arthropoda; Insecta; Orthoptera; Acrididae.